GACGAACGCUGGCGGCGUGCUUAACACAUGCAAGUCGAGCAAGGCCCCUCCUUCGGGAGGGUGUCCUAGCGGCGAACGGGUGAGUAACACGUGGGCAACCUGCCCUCAGCUCUGGGAUAACUCCGGGAAACCGGGGCUAAUACCGGAUACGACCUCCACGGGCAUCUGCGGAGGUGGAAAGUUUUUCGGCUGAGGAUGGGCCCGCGGCCUAUCAGCUAGUUGGUGGGGUAGUGGCCCACCAAGGCGACGACGGGUAGCCGGCCUGAGAGGGCGACCGGCCACACUGGGACUGAGACACGGCCCAGACUCCUACGGGAGGCAGCAGUGGGGAAUAUUGCGCAAUGGGCGAAAGCCUGACGCAGCGACGCCGCGUGAGGGACGAAGGCCUUCGGGUUGUAAACCUCUUUCAGCAGGGACGAAGCGAAAGUGACGGUACCUGCAGAAGAAGCACCGGCCAACUACGUG
This 465-nucleotide ribosomal RNA is filed under the name uncultured bacterium. RNAcentral's name for it is "partial 16S ribosomal RNA". It matches the Rfam family "Bacterial small subunit ribosomal RNA", at positions 28 to 507 of the family's 1533-position model. The record is from RNAcentral.